GAUGAAGAACGCAGUGAAAUGCGAUAAGUAAUGUGAAUUGCAGAAUUCAGUGAAUCAUCGAAUCUUUGAACGCACCUUGCGCCCGCCAGUAUUCUGGCGGGCAUGCCUGUCUGAGCGUCGUUUCGACCCUCGCGCCCGGCUUCUGUCGGGGGCGGUGUUGGGGAUCGGCCACACCCUUCAGUGGGAGGCCGGCCCCUAAAUUCAGUGGCGACCACGCUGUAGCCUCCCCUGCGUAGUACUAAAACCACCUCGCAGGCGGAGAGCGGUGCGGCCCGCCGUAAAACCCCCCAACUUUUACAAGGUCGACCUCAGAUCAGGUAGGAAUACCCGCUGAACUUAAGCAUAUCAAUAAGCGGAGGA
This 360-nucleotide unclassified non-coding RNA is filed under the name soil metagenome. Its description in RNAcentral is "partial contains 5.8S ribosomal RNA, internal transcribed spacer 2, and large subunit ribosomal RNA". The stretch from base 1 to 120 matches the Rfam family "5.8S ribosomal RNA", at positions 35 to 154 of the family's 154-position model. The record is from RNAcentral.